RNAcentral lists this ribosomal RNA (261 nucleotides) under uncultured bacterium. RNAcentral's name for it is "partial 16S ribosomal RNA". It matches the Rfam family "Bacterial small subunit ribosomal RNA", at positions 793 to 1055 of the family's 1533-position model. The record is from RNAcentral.
GUCCACGCCGUAAACGAUGAGUGCUGGAUGUUGGGAGGUUACCUCUCAGUGUCGUAGCUAACGCGAUAAGCACUCCGCCUGGGAGUACGGCCGCAAGGUUAACUCAAAGGAAUUGACGGGGCCCGCACAAGCGGUGGAGCAUGUGGUUUAAUUCGAAGCAACGCGAAGAACCUUACCAGCUCUUGACAUGGGAAGUUUGGGCCUGAGAGAUCGGGUCCUUCAGUUCGGCUGGCUUCCACACAGGUGCUGCAUGGCUGUCGU